GCCAUCUUUCCUUCCACGUGCGGAGGAAUCAGCCUGAGAAUGAAACCAUCGCAGGAAAGGGCUGAAAGACAGUGAGUGUGUGCUUUCUAAGGGCAGCAUUUGAGCCUAGGCCCCAGCCGGCCCUGAAGCCAGCACAAUCCUCGGAACGUCUCAAUUUUGUGAGCCAAUAAAUGCCCUUGAUUGUUUAGGCAAGUUUUCACUGGGUCUUACCCCACGUGAGCCCCCACUCCUCCAUAUGGACCUGUUUUGGACCAACGAGGCAUCCCCUUCUGUAGUCCUCAACACGGGGAGCUCCACCACUGCCUAGCCGUGUGACCUCAGGUGCUUGCUGCAGAGGCAUCGGGGGUCUCUGGCCAGAGGCGACAUCUAAAGCAAUCGGGAUCCUGUUUGGUUUUACCACAUCCGACCUGCCGCCCAGCCGGGGCAAGACAGCCACGCGCAGCGGAUGCACCGGCCCUGAACUCUUUCUCGAGUAGUCCCCAGAGAUUUCAGGAAGAGAGAGAAGAGGUAAAGAGACCAGAAACAAAGUCUUUUGCAAGCAAAGAACUGCAACAGGCCCCAGCUGUUAGGUUUGAGGGGCAUAUGGGCCAGGCGACUGAACUGCACAGUUGGGGCCAGAGGUACGGUUGCUGACCCCUGAGCCCAGGAGCCUUGAGAAUAUGGACAGUGUUAAUAAUAACUGCAAACAUCCAACAGAUGAUGCUAGAAUAACUGGACAUCUGUGUGCAAAAAUAAUGAACCUAUACCUUGCACCUUA
Molecule: long non-coding RNA, 757 nt
Organism: Mandrillus leucophaeus (drill)
Lineage: Eukaryota; Metazoa; Chordata; Mammalia; Primates; Cercopithecidae
Exons: 3
Source: RefSeq, a predicted model, not a curated record